Acidobacteria bacterium 13_1_40CM_56_16 is the source of this 258-nucleotide non-coding RNA. Lineage: Bacteria; Pseudomonadati; Acidobacteriota. The record is from Rfam.
GGGGGCGCACCGGUUUCGACGGGGACGAAGAAGUACGAGACGCAUACCGAGGCCCAUGACCUCGUAAAAACGUGGAAACUAAUUAACUGCUGACUUUCAGCCAGCUUUAGCUGCUUAACACCAGCUAACGUCCUUGAUCAGUUCGCCUGUAGGUUGGUUAAAGGGCGUCACUUUAUGCAGGAUAGCCUCAAGCCGCUGGCCCGGCAGUACGAGGCGAAAUUCAACGGGCUGGCGCUCCGGUUAGCUGGCAGGUUCCUU